UCCCUCAUACGUUUCGCCACCGCUACUUUGCAAAACCCUAGAAAACUCUUCAGAUCUUGAAUCCCAAUCGUAAUCUACUCUUCUUCGAUCGUCGCCACCCAAAAGUUGCCUCCAAAGAUUGUAUUCAUGGUAAGUUUAUGUAUCCGAUUCGAAGUUCUUGACAUUUGAUUUUGAUAUAUUCGUUUUCAACUGUUCAUCAGAAAGCCUACUUGCCGUGGGAGAUUAUGAUCGGAUUUCUGUUCGUGAAGCUCUUGGAGGCGGCGCAGCCGCUCUAUGUUGUCUCUUUUCACCAUUCAUCCAUCCAUAAUCUUUGGAUCUUUUCAUUCAAUUUCAACAGUUUCGAGCUUGAUAAACAAGGAUAAGGUGGAAUCAGUGGUCUCGAGCUUCUUCUCAGUUAGAAGAACAUCACAGGAGAACUGGGAUCUGAUUGUAAAGCGAUCUCUUAAUAAUUCAGCACUUAAUCAUUCAGAAGUUGUCAAACAACCCCGAAGUGUUGCUGGACAUGCGGCUAGGAAUUUCGUCGAACAUGGGAUGACUGACGAAAAACUAUGUAAUGUUUCCGAAGAGGCCUAUGCUCCAUAUUAACUUCCUGUGUUUACGAAAGGCUAUUUAUUUAUUUUCGACAAGAAGCCAGCUCAUUUGCUGAUAAGCCAGUUUGCUUGAUAUGAUAUCAUUGGGGAAGUCGCGAAGGUUAUUUAUUUAUUUUUGACAAUUUCUAUUUUUGUGAAUUUUUGAGUUGCUAACAAGAUUCAUAUGUAUCCAUUGUUGUUUCCUCUUCGUUUGAAACGACCUUGGUAUCCCGGACCUUCAUCUUUUCAAGUUGCACGGAUCCAGAGACUUGCAAGCGGCCAGAUUAGUGAAGAUUUUCAGCAGGAGAAACCACUUUGGAAACUUACAUGUUAUGGUCAUUAUUUAUUGGAUAGUCACCAAGCAGACAUCAGAGAAAGGCAGGAGGGAACUAUUGAGGUUAAAUUUAGUUAAGCAGGAGGAAGGUGGAGGCUUAAGAGAACCCAUCUUAAACAUUUACAAAGAUGUAACCUUUGAUCCUGUCGUCAGUUCUGGAUCCCAGUUUUGGGUGUUAAGUCUUAUGAACCCGCUGAAAAAAAUGAUAUUACAAAACGAAAUGCAGGAGAUCCUGAUGCAAAAGGACACAAUGAUGUCACAAAAAGAAAUGAUGUGCAACAACAAGAACAAGAACGGAGGGUAAUGGAUAAGAAGAUCAAAGAGAUGAAAGACCAGCUGAUACGAGCCAAAGCUUACUUAAGUUUUGUAUUGCCAGCUGGCAAUACUCAUUUAAUAAAGGAAUUACGGUUACGAGUUAAAGAACUAGAACAAGCCAUGGGAGACGUUGGCAAAGAUUCUGAUCUGUCUAAGAGGGCCUUUCAGAGGAUGCUGGCCAUGGAAAAUUCGUUGCAAAAAGCGGGCCGAAUUUAUCUGGAUUGCUCUAGCAUGGUGAAGAAGCUUCGUGUGAUGACGAACAUCGCACGAAUUGUGUGAGUGAAGAAAGUUUAAUGGACCCUUUAAAUACCAAUACAAUUGCAGCAUGCCAACUGAUUCCCCAAAACUGCAGGGGAGAUUCAGCUUUAGGUAAACCGACUACUUUGUACAAAUCUGAAAAGAGGCAAGAGUUAAAAGAGGAAGGUUAACUUUGGUUGGAUGUGGAUGGCAAGCAUUUCCUGCAUAUGUGAAUGUUGGGUGUUAUUAUGUGGUUCGAUUGCCACUUGGUUCUUUGCUGGCCUUCAUUAUUAACUUUGGUGCUAAGGGAAUAUGGUUGGGUCUGGUUGGCGGUAUGACUAUGCAAACGCUUAUUUUACUAUGCGUUGUGGUAUACGUGAUGUGAAAAAAAUCAUUGUAGGUCGGUGUUGAAGGCCUGUAGACAUAAAUGGCUCCCACUGUUUCUAGAUCCGGUGACGCUGUAUUCCCCAACGUUGAGGGUGUGUGUACGGGCUGUAAAUGAGUCAAGCCAGGGUGGGAGGCAGCUCCAUCAAUGUGUGUUUUUUAUUGUUCAGAUGCAGGGAUGAUAGUCAAUGCCUUCAGCGAGGAUUGACCUCCAUCAAGUGCUUUAGGAACUUCACCAGACAACAGUUUCCUCUUUCUUCCAUCAUUAAAACUCUCAUCAAGAUUGUAUUGAGAUGGGGAGAUUCAGGUUAAGGUAAACCAGCUACUUUGUACAAAUCUGAAAAGAGGCAAGAGUUAAAAGAGGAAGAUUAACUUUGGUUGGAUGUAGAUGGAAAGCAUUUCUUGCAUAUGUGAAUGUUUGGAUGUUAUUAUGUGGUUCGAUUGCCACUUGGUUCUUUGCUGGCCUUCAUGAUUAACUUUGGUGCUAAGAUUAAACAAUUUUCAAGAAACGAGGAAAACGCUUACAACAAUUCCGAUUACACUUAAAAUUGGUUAAGCUAGAAGUACCCAUAAAUACGAUAGCUCUUGUGGAGCUUCGAAAAAGUGGUUUACCCCAUGCUCAUAUGAAUUCCAGCUGCUGUUUAGGUUGGAGAAUCCGAGAUGUUGGCUGUGAUGCUUGAUUAUGGGGAAGUGAUGUUCAAUCCUUCAAUGAAGUAAGACCUAUUUGCUCAUCGUGAAUUUUGUGGGUUCAAGAAAUGGGUGACCUUGGUGUAAACAUGUUGAUUUAGUCACGUUGCCUCAAACUGGGUCGAAUGGUUACAUUUUCGUGGAGGGUUGAAUCACUGCGGAAUAUGCCAAGAAGUGCUUGAUGGCCAAUUUGUGAGAAUCAAGAAAGGCAACGGCCUGCUAAUGGGUUGUCUAAUAAAAGCUCAAAGUGGAUUAGCAUUUGUUAUAACAAAUGUAAAAGUCAACAACUUGAUAUAAAGAGCUAUAAAAGUCAACAAUUACUGCUAUGGAGACGACCAGGAGAGAUAGUCAAGACAGUGGAAAUUAUUAAAUGGACGAUUGGAGAAGAAACUCUUGUCAAUCAAAGAUAGGCCUUUAGCAGGUGAUGUUAAUCAAUGGCCUCUUUUCAUGCUCUUGGGUUUGAUGUUAACACAUACGACAAUAUUAUCAUCAUUUAAAUUCUAAUUACCACUGUAAUGUGUUGUAUUUAUUCAAAAAAAUGUGUGUUUGUUGUUUAGGCAUGGCAAGUAUUGCAGCCACAACGAAAAACCAAUUUUGAGCCUAAAUAAUUUAUGUUAAUGUUUGGUUUCUAUUCAUUCUUUGGUAUCAAAUUUGAUAUGCA
Helianthus annuus (common sunflower) is the source of this 3187-nucleotide RNA transcript. RefSeq lists it as uncharacterized. The record is from RefSeq and is a predicted model, not a curated record. The transcript has 21 exons. NCBI's taxonomy places the organism in Eukaryota, Viridiplantae, Streptophyta, Magnoliopsida, Asterales, Asteraceae.